GACGAACGCGGGCGGCGUGCUUAACACAUGCCAGUCGAACGGAAAGGCCUCUUUCGGGGGGUACUCGAGUGGCGAACGGGUGAGUAACACGUGAGUAACCUGCCCUUGACUUUGGGAUAACUUCAGGAAACUGGGGCUAAUACCGGAUAGGAGCUCCUGCUGCAUGGUGGGGGUUGGAAAGUUUCGGCGGUUGGGGAUGGACUCGCGGCUUAUCAGCUUGUUGGUGGGGUAGUGGCUUACCAAGGCUUUGACGGGUAGCCGGCCUGAGAGGGUGACCGGCCACAUUGGGACUGAGAUACGGCCCAGACUCCUACGGGAGGCAGCAGUGGGGAAUAUUGCACAAUGGGUGGAAGCCUGAUGCAGCAACGCCGUGUGCGGGAUGACGGCCUUCGGGUUGUAAACCGCUUUCGCUCAUGACGAAGCUUUGUGUGACGGUAGUGGGUAAAGAAGCACCGGCUAACUACGUG
RNAcentral lists this ribosomal RNA (467 nucleotides) under uncultured bacterium. RNAcentral's name for it is "partial 16S ribosomal RNA". It matches the Rfam family "Bacterial small subunit ribosomal RNA", at positions 28 to 507 of the family's 1533-position model. The record is from RNAcentral.